CGUCAGACUCAUAAACACCCUCACGACCCAAUGGCAGCACGCUAACAACUCAUUUCAAGAUGAAAUUUUUCCCACAACAUUUAAGUGGACACUGAACCAGGCCCUGGAGACGAAAGAGUGAGAAGGCAGAAACGAUCCCGUCACUGGGAAGCUCACACUGCAGAGGAGGGACCCACCGUCAGGACCAGGCACCUUUCAGCCAGUAGACAUGGUCUAGUGGAGAAGGCCCGUGAUGAGGGGCCCAGCAUCCCAAGUUCCCUUUCUGCUCCGCUGGUCUCCAGCUGGCUCACUUUGACUUCGUUCCCAGUCCCUCUGUGCCACAACUGUCUCACCUACAAAAUGAAGGAGAUUGGUCCAGGCAUAAGGGAAAAAAUAAGGUGUGGGAGAACCCAUGAAGCAAAGAGCUAUGGAUCACUUGCUGUAUGCCAGAUGCUGUACACCAGGAACAGAAAAGGAAGAAAGGGACAUGUUGCACCCUUAGCAUGCAUUUUGUGAGGGAACAGACAGAUACAAAGAUUACAUUAAAACGAAAAAGCGCAACGAUGUGGAGAGCACAGAAGAGAGCUACCCACGCUAGACGCUCGCUGAAUCCUCACAACAUCCUGGAUACCGCUGUUUCCAUUUCAUAGCUGGGGAAGGGAGACCAAGAAAAAUGAAACGGUUUCCAAGACCCCACAGUUGAUGUAACUACUACAGCUCUCCCAUGGAUGAAAUACUAGGUUACAAUGUCUACUGUUUUGCUGGGAAACAGCUCAUUUUCUCACAGAGAAAGGUGAGGGUAAAAUGAAAGGGUCAAGAGUCCACCUUGGAAAGUCUUCUGGACAAUAACCAAACAUAGUCCACAACAGACUUCUUUCAGAGUUGCCGUCACCUCCCCUUGACCCUCUCUGCAUUUCACAUACAGUCCCUCUACUCCAGGGAGCCGUGGAAUUGACGCAAAAUGGAGAAGGAGAAAGGAUCCAGGGGUACCGAGGAGCACGUGAGGGAAUCACUCACUGAAACGGAGGAACAGUUCAUCCCCGGAAAUAAGAUCCAGCGCUAUGGCGUUAAUUCAGUGUCUUUACUGUUGUGGUUAGUCAUGGAGAAAUUCGGGGCAUCAGAGCUGUUCCUUUAAAGACCGAGGCCACUGUGCUCAUGGACGAGCCAUCACCACACCAUUAUGACUAGUUUUCCUACCCACAUUUGGCCUGGUUUUCCUAUCGACUUCCCAAUCCCUGUGAACGUGUGCAGGUAUUUCCCCGACAAUCUCUACUACUCCCCACUCCACUUGGCCUGUUUGGGAACAGGACUGCUAUUCCAAAUGCAUUCUAUUUGGAAUGUGCAUUCGCCACCGACAACAGACAAAUAAGCCAGAAGCAAAACCACUUUUGACUCUGGGAUACUAACUGCAACAAAUUGCCUGGAAAUAACAAAAUGAGGCUGAAAAGACUAGGAUAAAUAUUCCCUGCAUUUUCUGCAAAAUACCAAUAUUAGCCACGGAAGACACAGGCCAUUUAGCUCCUUGAGCAUCAUUGUAUGAUCCAUAGUUUCCUCACAAGAAGCAAGUUCUGUUUGUGCCAACUGUGUAUGAUUCUGCUUCUAAAGCAUUACUCAAAUUCAACAUUCAGCUCUGCUCAGAGUAUGCAUAAUACACGAAUUAAUAACUAAUAUGAAAAGAAAAAAGGCUCUGCAUGAAAUAACCUUUUUCAGACUGAGCAAUAAUCCUCCACGUACAGUAACAAAAAUAGAUGUAACUUCCUUCUCCUCCUGAGAUGUCCAAUUCCACUCUCCGCGGGAGACUCAUCAAUGAACUUCGAUAAAACACCCAGGAUCAUAUACGCGUAGGUAAUUACAACUGUAUUAACCCCUGUCACUGGCUGUGAAGGGAUCAGCGUCAAUCUGGGCAGUUGCUAACAAUAGCGCUCUGAGGGCAAUACGCUCAGUGUUACUCAAGAUGAGUGUUGACUUGCAAGUGGCACCUGGAUGGAUUUGGGACAGAAUACUCAGAUCUUAGUUCUCCUGAGCUCAGCAUUAACAUAAUCCCAUUCUAUUACAAAUUCUCCACCUAAAGGUCCCCUACAGCCACCCACCUGCAGUCAGUCCCCACACCUCCUCAGGGCGGCAGGCUCCAUCAGAUGCCCAGGUGUCCUGAUGUAGGAACUCAGACCUCAUGCAAGGUCUAAGUGACCACUGCCCUCAUUGGGAAGUCACUCAAGUGCUUAACUCACAAACUUUCCAAAAUUUACAUUUUAAUGUCAGGUCCUCAGAGCCUGGGUCUGGAAAUCAACCGGGUCCUUUGUUAUCUGUAACAGAGGCUAUAAAGAAAGAUAACUUAUUGAAAAAGUUGGACUUCUAGGACACAGCAUACUGAAAAAGCUUGGACUUUAGAGCCUGACAGAGCUGGGUUUAAGCUUUAACUCAUUGUCGACUGGUGGCAUGAACGACUUUGCAGAGUUUCCGCCUCUCUCAGAGCCGUGACACAGAUUAACUGUGAAUCUCAGCCGACCAAACACACCUGCACCUAGGAGCGACCUCUCUCGGCACCGACAGUGCCGGCACUGGCUUUGUUUCGUUAACACACUGCCCAGCCCUUGCCUAUAGCUCCCGGACGGCUAGUAACCUACUCUGGCCAUCUCCACGACCCAAGCCCAGGACGCGCUGCGUGACUCACAGUAGGCUCUCAACGUCCACGUCACACUGAAGGAAGAGGAGGCACUUAAUUCAGUGCUUCUCAAACUUUAAUGUGCAUACAAUUCACCUGGGAAUCGUGUUAAAGAGCAUAUUCUGAUUCAUUACGUCUAGCGUGGACCCCAAGACACUGCAUCUCAGACAAGCACCAAAUAGACCCAUGCUUCGAGGACCCCACUCUGAGCAACUCAGUGCUAGUUUCCUUUCUUUUCCUUCCUUUUUGGCCCCGACAAUAGUCUAUGAAGUGGCAACAGCCACGAGCCGUUUGUGAGCAGCUCUGAGGGCUGUUUCCCCGCAGUCCAACCAUGACCUUCCCUUGACACCAACAGAGGCCGGGGCACCCAGGACAAUAUGAGUGUGGGGACUGUUAGUGUGAAGAUACAACUCUUCCCCAUUAGAACAAGCUAUCGAGUGAACAAUGCUCUUCGUCAGAAAAAUAGAAAGCUCCUUAAGGAACAAGAAACAGUUUCGUUAUACUUCUAGAGGACAACACACUAAAUAGCAAUGUGCCGGUAGAAGACACAAAUUUCUAAAUCACUGACAUUUAAUACCUUGUAUUUCCAAAAAGUGUCAUGCUCUCCACUGUCAUGUUAACAGAAUGAGUAUUUAUAAAUAUGCAUGCCAGAAACGCAAAGCCAUAUUUGCAAAGGGAAGCUGUCAUCUGGUGCCACACAGCGCCAUCUGCCGGGCAGCUGCUGAGGAGCAGCAGAAAAAAGGAAGGAUCCUGGUCAGGAAUAAUAACGCGAAAUUUCCUGCAGCUUUUGAAACAGCUUUAUGCAAACUAAGGCAGCUUCCUGGGGUUCUGCACUGGCUCAUUUGGAGAGAACACCAUACAGCAAAAAUGCUCUUUUUGCCUAAAAAGGUAGAACCAUUUUAUAGAGAUACGUAUACUGAUGCGGGACUACAGGCUGAACAGAGAAAUCCUUAUGGCCAUUGAGAAGAAAAAACUGUUUCUUCCUCCCAAAGAAAAAUCUGGUUUUCUGGGCACCACUGGAAUUUACCUGACUCUUAAUCAACACAAUGUUAGUGCACAGUAUUUUCAGCACCCGUCACAAACAAGAAAUAGACAUGAGAAAGUAGCAAAGACAAAUCUGUAAUCUAGUCACUACUGAAUGUAGGUUCCUCUUAAAUCCUAAAACUGGUCGAAUACUUUAGCACAAAUGUCAAGAAAGGAAUGAGUGGGAAGAUGUGAGGCCUGAUAAGUCCUUCCUACUGACAUCUUUCAAGGAAAAGGCAACUUGCUCUAUCAUCAUAGUGGCAUAAUUUUGAAAUGAUUUUAAUUUUCCUAUUGAAUAGUCUAGUUGCCAGAGCUGAUCACCCAGUUCUUAGGCAGUCUUCGAUUUUAAAGAAUUAAGCAGAAAUUUGGGUUUAACUGAACACAUUAAAGAAUAAUAAUGCUAUGAAAUAUCUACUUUGGGACGUCAGAAAAAAUAUAGGUAACAAGCCCUUUCAAGCAAUUUUCUACAGAGGAUCUCAAAGGGCAAUCCUGGCUGUCACCCAACGACCCUUGAAAAGGCUCUGUUGAGGUUUCCCUGAGAUUCAGAAGUGGAAAGUAUGAAUAAAAUAUAGAUCAAUAAAGUAUUUCACAGGUGCUUUAGAGGAACAUUAAGGGAAUUGCCUGAGGUCACAAAGACAUAACAGUUGGGAAAAAACCUGGGACUCCCAGAUUCUAGCUUAAAACACCUAAAUACUUCCUCCGUGUAACACUUCUUGGGGGACAAUCCCAUAAUUAAUUUAAACAGCUUUCUGGGGCACAUUAACGAUGUACACAGGCCCUCUGAAAGGAGAAAAUGGCUUCCUUGCCACUCAUAAGUGGGCCUGUUUCCUCUAGUGAGACCAAGGCACCCUGGAAGGCCCUGGAAGGAAACAUCAGAACUGCCAAGAGGGCUGGGGGCACAGGUGGGCACAGAUUUCUCAUCCGGCUGUCUCCUCCCAUCUUGUGGAAUAGCCUCCAUAGCCUGGGAAAACUGACAUUUCUUUCCAACGGCCCAGCCUCACCGGCACACCCCCAGGCCUUCCUUGCCUCAGAGGGAUGCUUCCCAACUAUGAAUUUUCAUGGACUAAGCAUUGCCUGAGGGCCCUGCGGUGCUGGGAGGGAACCUGCC
Equus asinus (donkey) is the source of this 4772-nucleotide long non-coding RNA. The record is from Ensembl. Lineage: Eukaryota; Metazoa; Chordata; Mammalia; Perissodactyla; Equidae.